Molecule: ribosomal RNA, 1563 nt
Filed under: Hyperacrius fertilis (subalpine Kashmir vole)
Lineage: Eukaryota; Metazoa; Chordata; Mammalia; Rodentia; Cricetidae
Description: 16S ribosomal RNA
Rfam family: Bacterial large subunit ribosomal RNA
Source: RNAcentral
ACUAAGUCUAGCCCUGACAAAUACCAAACCUAAUUAUUAAUUUUAAUAAAACAAAACAUUUGACAAAAGCAAGUAUUGGAGAAAGAAAGCUAUCUCAGGAGCUAUAGAGGCAGUACCGUAAGGGAAAGAUGAAAGAGUAUUUAAAAGUAAUAAUAAGCAAAGAUUAAACCUUGUACCUUUUGUAUAAUGAGUUAACUAGAAUACACCUAACUAAGAGGCCUUAAGCUAGAUACCCCGAAACCAAACGAGCUACCUAAGAGCAGUAAAAAGAACUAACCCGUCUAUGUGGCAAAAUAGUGGGAUGACUUCUAGGUAGAGGUGAAAAGCCUACCGAGCUUGGUGAUAGCUGGUUACCCAAUAAAGAAUUUUAGUUCGACUUUAAGAUUACCAUAAGAAAUAAUAAUCCCAAUGUAAUCUUAAAUUUUAGCCUAAAGAGGGACAGCUCUUUAGGAAUGGAAACAACCUUUUAUAGUGAAUAAACUCUACUAACUUAAACCAUUGUUGGCCUAAAAGCAGCCACCAAUAAAGAAAGCGUUAAAGCUCAACACUAUAGCAUCUUAAUACCACAAACUACAAUGACUUCCUAUAAGAACUAAUUGGGUCAAUCUAUAACUAUAUAGAUGAGAUACUGUUAACAUGAGUAACAAGAACACCGUUCUCCGAGCACAAGCCUAUAACAACCCGGAUAACCAUUGUUAGUUAACAUCAAAAGGUGGAGACCCUACUAAUUAACCCCACCUAAAUUAAAACUGUUAGUCCAACACAGGUGUGCUUUAAGGAAAGAUUAAAAGAAGUAAAAGGAACUCGGCAAACAAGAAUCCCGCCUGUUUACCAAAAACAUCACCUCUAGCAUAAAAAGUAUUAGAGGCACCGCCUGCCCAGUGACAAACGUUUAACGGCCGCGGUAUCCUGACCGUGCAAAGGUAGCAUAAUCACUUGUUCCUUAAUUGGGGACUGGAAUGAAUGGCUCCACGAGGAUUCAACUGUCUCUUACUUCCAAUCAGUGAAAUUGACCUUCCCGUGAAGAGGCGGGAAUAUAACAAUAAGACGAGAAGACCCUAUGGAGCUUUAAUCUACUGGCUUAACUUUUUAAUCAAUUAUCCUAAUGGACUAAAUAAUAAAGCCAUAAGCCAGUGAUUUCGGUUGGGGUGACCUCGGAGUAUAAACAAACCUCCGAAAGAUUUUAACUAAGACCCACAAGUCAAAGUUACUAAAAUCCAAUUGACCCAAUUCAUUUGAUCAACGGACUAAGUUACCCUAGGGAUAACAGCGCAAUCCUAUUUAAGAGUCCAUAUCGACAAUAGGGUUUACGACCUCGAUGUUGGAUCAGGACAUCCCAAUGGUGUAGCAGCUAUUAAUGGUUCGUUUGUUCAACGAUUAAAGUCCUACGUGAUCUGAGUUCAGACCGGAGCAAUCCAGGUCGGUUUCUAUCUAUUAACUAUUUCUCCCAGUACGAAAGGAUAAGAGAAAUGGGGCCUCCUUAACUCAAAGCGCCUCAAAACUAAUAUAUGAAAUUAUCUCAAUUUAGUAAGUUAGUAACAUUAUGCCCUAGACAAGGGCUCA